GUGCUGGAGUGUGUGUGUGUGGAAAAACAGGAUUCUUGUAUACAUGUUGGCCAUCGGAGGCGUCGUGUGGUUAUACGAUGACACAUGAUGAUAGAAAAUGCCGGAGAGUAUAUAUGGAAAAUCGCUAACAGGCGGAACCAAAUAGGAUUGCAGCAUUUCCGCUCGCCACCAAACAUCAUCCGAGGGAUGGGGAAUGAUGAAUUGAUGGCGGUUAGCCAUCCAUCAUCAAACCGACCUCGCUUUUUUGUUAUUUCGUUGGGGUUUUUCUUCGAUUUGAAAUCAUUCUUUCAUCCUUUCUCUUUUUUUGGAAAUAAAAAAAGUCUAUCUACUACUACUACCAGCAGCGCGUGUUACCGUGUGGGCUACUGAAUAAAUACACACAAUAGAGAAAACGA
Daphnia pulex (common water flea) is the source of this 395-nucleotide long non-coding RNA. RefSeq lists it as uncharacterized. The transcript is spliced from 2 exons. The record is from RefSeq and is a predicted model, not a curated record. Lineage: Eukaryota; Metazoa; Arthropoda; Branchiopoda; Diplostraca; Daphniidae.